GGUGAUCAGCGGCGGGGCAGGGAACUAUGCGCUCCUGUGCCCCGCCGCAGUAUAUGGGCGUUCGGGUCGGCAUUGGGCCCCCCAGUGGUGCUGGGCCCAGGGCUGCCGACCCGAACGCCCCUAUUGUAAUCCGCCAUUGGUCGGGACCCUGUAUCUAAACUUUCGGUUUG
Molecule: long non-coding RNA, 170 nt
Organism: Bufo bufo (common toad)
Lineage: Eukaryota; Metazoa; Chordata; Amphibia; Anura; Bufonidae
Exons: 4
Source: RefSeq, a predicted model, not a curated record